RNAcentral lists this ribosomal RNA (280 nucleotides) under uncultured bacterium. RNAcentral describes it as "partial 16S ribosomal RNA". It matches the Rfam family "Bacterial small subunit ribosomal RNA", at positions 506 to 784 of the family's 1533-position model. The record is from RNAcentral.
UGCCAGCAGCCGCGGUAAUACGUACUGUGCGAACGUUAUUCGGAAUGCACUGGGCUUAAAGGGUGCGUAGGCGGUUAAAUAAGUAGGAUGUGAAAUGCCAUGGCCUAACCAUGGCACUGCGUUCUAAACUGUUUGACUUGAGUAAGAUAGGGGUGUGCGGAACUUCCAGUGGAGCGGUGAAAUGCGUUGAGAUUGGAAGGAACGCCGUUGGCGAAAGCGGCAUACUGGGGUUUGUCUGACGCUGAGGCACGAAAGCUAGGGGAGCGAACAGGAUUAGAUA